This 47-nucleotide microRNA precursor is filed under the name Pan troglodytes (chimpanzee). Its description in RNAcentral is "miRNA". Lineage: Eukaryota; Metazoa; Chordata; Mammalia; Primates; Hominidae. The record is from RNAcentral.
UAGACACGAGUGUUGUCUACGAGGGCAUCCUUGUGUCUGUGUGUGUG